UGUAGCUCAGAGGUAGAGCACCAGACGUUGGAUCUGGCAGUCAUGGGUUCGACUCCCAUCACUCCUUCCCCACCA
This 75-nucleotide transfer RNA is filed under the name Planctomycetota bacterium. RNAcentral's name for it is "Planctomycetes bacterium (activated sludge metagenome) tRNA-Gln". The stretch from base 1 to 67 matches the Rfam family "tRNA". From Rfam's summary of the family: Transfer RNA (tRNA) molecules are approximately 80 nucleotides in length. Their secondary structure includes four short double-helical elements and three loops (D, anti-codon, and T loops). Lineage: Bacteria; Pseudomonadati; Planctomycetota. The record is from RNAcentral.